GGAGACUUGUCAUCAUGAGGAAUGGACUCAAUAUUGAUUAAACCAGACUCUUUUGGCAUGUUUUUGCUAAUAGAGUAAAUUGUGACUACAGUCACUUUAUUAACUCCUUUUGAUGCCAAUCUUUUGGAAAAUUGAACCAUUGGGUUUAUGUGACCUUGUACUGGAAAUGGAAGAACUAAAACAUGAGAUUUGUUGGUUUUUUCUUCCAUUUUGUGCACUAAAUUUACUCUUUUUAACUUGUAAGUUUAUC
Molecule: unclassified non-coding RNA, 250 nt
Filed under: Hevea brasiliensis (rubber tree)
Lineage: Eukaryota; Viridiplantae; Streptophyta; Magnoliopsida; Malpighiales; Euphorbiaceae
Source: RNAcentral